GGAUGCGAGGGCAAUCUGGCUGCAACAUCUGUCAUGCCACUGAUUGCCAAGGUUGAUUCAGCUGAUCUGGAUGGCUAGGUGGGUGUGCCCUUCCUCUCUUAACCCUCCAUGUGCUUCACUCCCGAGGCUGCAGGCUAGAUGGAAGAGGAUGCCCCCUCUACCUCCCCGCCCCCCGUAGAGGAGGACCAUUCCUCUGUCAGGGAUACGUGAGUAGCUGCACUCCCCUGCUAGAAGCUCCAAAGAAGCUCUAUUUACAAUUUACCGAGUCUUCAACGACAAACAACAACACUCAGGAAGGAUUUGGAGGCAGAUUUAUUU
RNAcentral lists this small nuclear RNA (318 nucleotides) under Octodon degus (degu). RNAcentral's name for it is "7SK RNA (ENSODEG00000023905.1)". It matches the Rfam family "7SK RNA". From Rfam's summary of the family: 7SK was discovered as an abundant small nuclear RNA in the mid-70s but a possible function has only recently been suggested. Two independent studies have found that 7SK RNA binds the CDK9/cyclin T complex (known as elongation factor P-TEFb). P-TEFb activates transcription by phosphorylating the C-terminal domain of RNA polymerase II. The record is from RNAcentral. Lineage: Eukaryota; Metazoa; Chordata; Mammalia; Rodentia; Octodontidae.